UGCCUCAGUUGGUAGAGCGUGGUGUUUGCAACGCCAGGGUUGUGGGUUCGAUUCCCAU
This 58-nucleotide transfer RNA is filed under the name Salmo salar (Atlantic salmon). It matches the Rfam family "tRNA", at positions 8 to 63 of the family's 71-position model. Rfam says of the family: Transfer RNA (tRNA) molecules are approximately 80 nucleotides in length. Their secondary structure includes four short double-helical elements and three loops (D, anti-codon, and T loops). Lineage: Eukaryota; Metazoa; Chordata; Actinopteri; Salmoniformes; Salmonidae. The record is from Rfam by way of RNAcentral.